RNAcentral lists this ribosomal RNA (249 nucleotides) under uncultured bacterium. RNAcentral's name for it is "partial 16S ribosomal RNA". It matches the Rfam family "Bacterial small subunit ribosomal RNA", at positions 524 to 771 of the family's 1533-position model. The record is from RNAcentral.
UACGGGGGGGGCAAGCGUUGUUCGGAAUUACUGGGCGUAAAGGGGUUCGUAGGUGGCCAACUAAGUCAGACGUGAAAUCCCUCAGCUUAACUGGGGAACUGCGUCUGAUACUGGUUGGCUUGAGUGCAGGAGAGGAACGGCGGAAUUCCGGGUGUAGCGGUGGAAUGCGUAGAGAUCCGGAGGAAGACCGGUGGCGAAGGCGGUCUGCUGGGCAGUUCUGACACUGAUGCGCGACAGCGUGGGGAGCAA